Molecule: ribosomal RNA, 430 nt
Filed under: Photobacterium damselae
Lineage: Bacteria; Pseudomonadati; Pseudomonadota; Gammaproteobacteria; Vibrionales; Vibrionaceae
Description: bacterial SSU rRNA
Rfam family: Bacterial small subunit ribosomal RNA
Source: RNAcentral
UUAAUUGAAGAGUUUGAUCAUGGCUCAGAUUGAACGCUGGCGGCAGGCCUAACACAUGCAAGUCGAGCGGCAGCGACUUAACUGAACCUUCGGGGAACGUUAAGGGCGGCGAGCGGCGGACGGGUGAGUAAUGCCUGGGAAUAUGCCCUGAUGUGGGGGAUAACUAUUGGAAACGAUAGCUAAUACCGCAUAAUCUCUUCGGAGCAAAGAGGGGGACCUUCGGGCCUCUCGCGUCAGGAUUAGCCCAGGUGGGAUUAGCUUGUUGGUGAGGUAAUGGCUCACCAAGGCAACGAUCCCUAGCUGGUCUGAGAGGAUGAUCAGCCACACUGGAACUGAGACACGGUCCAGACUCCUACGGGAGGCAGCAGUGGGGAAUAUUGCACAAUGGGGGAAACCCUGAUGCAGCCAUGCCGCGUGUGUGAAGAAGGCC